RNAcentral lists this ribosomal RNA (431 nucleotides) under Rhizobiales bacterium 'ARUP UnID 153'. Its description in RNAcentral is "bacterial SSU rRNA". It matches the Rfam family "Bacterial small subunit ribosomal RNA", at positions 29 to 504 of the family's 1533-position model. The record is from RNAcentral. Lineage: Bacteria; Pseudomonadati; Pseudomonadota; Alphaproteobacteria; Hyphomicrobiales.
ACGAACGCUGGCGGYAGGCCUAACACAUGCAAGUCGAGCGCCCGGAUUUAUCCGGGAGCGGCGCACGGGUGAGUAACGCGUGGGAACAUGCCCUGAAGUACGGAACAACCUGGGGAAACCUUGGCUAAUACCGUAUACGCCCUGAGGGGGAAAGAUUUAUCGCUUUGGGAUUGGCCCGCGUUGGAUUAGCUAGUUGGUGUGGUAACGGCGCACCAAGGCGACGAUCCAUAACUGGUCUGAGAGGAUGRCCAGUCACACUGGGACUGAGACACGGCCCAGACUCCUACGGGAGGCAGCAGUGGGGAAUAUUGGACAAUGGGCGAAAGCCUGAUCCAGCCAUGCCGCGUGAGUGAAGAAGGCCUUCGGGUUGUAAAGCUCUUUCAGCGGGGACGAUGAUGACGGUACCCGCAGAAGAAGCCCCGGCUAACUUC